This 253-nucleotide ribosomal RNA is filed under the name uncultured bacterium. Its description in RNAcentral is "partial 16S ribosomal RNA". It matches the Rfam family "Bacterial small subunit ribosomal RNA", at positions 524 to 776 of the family's 1533-position model. The record is from RNAcentral.
UACGUAGGGAGCAAGCGUUGUCCGGAAUCAUUGGGCGUAAAGCGCGCGUAGGUGGCCUCGUAAGUCCGCUGUGAAAGUCAAAGGCUCAACCUUUGAAAGCCGGUGGAUACUGUGAGGCUAGAGUACGGAAGAGGCGAGUGGAAUUCCUGGUGUAGCGGUGGAAUGCGCAGAUAUCAGGGGGAACACCAAUAGCGAAGGCAGGUCUCUGGGCCAUAACUGACGCUGAGAAGCGAAAGCAUGGGGAGCGAACAGG